Heterocephalus glaber (naked mole-rat) is the source of this 571-nucleotide long non-coding RNA. Lineage: Eukaryota; Metazoa; Chordata; Mammalia; Rodentia; Bathyergidae. The record is from Ensembl.
GCAAGAGACAGAUCCAUCAGUUACUGGACAUAGUUCCCUCUUAAGGAUAGGGAGGUGGGGGGAGAGGGUGCAGAAAGAUGAUAAUCACAACCUGACAUUAUUACCAUAGCUGCUGCUGCUUACUGAGCUCUUUCUGUGCACACAGCCACAUUUUACUCAGAUGCCAUCAACUCCACAAAGAUCACCUCAACCUAGGUCUUUGUAUGGAAGAAAGAGCCAUGAAGGGGCUCCAAGAGUAUGCGGGUACUGCUCCAAAGGAGAAAUACUAAGGACAAAGCCAUGGAUCCAUUUGGAUGGGGCCUUGAUGAAACACUGUAGGAAUCCAUUGGGAGUUAUUGAGAAGGGAUCAAAGCAGUGCUGGAGAGAAAUUAAUCUGUUAAAUUCAGUUUAAAUUCAUGCCCAUGCCUGGAAAAAGAACUUUCAGAAAUGCUACCCUGUUGAUGGCUUGGUGUGAGUAGCUGUGGUGCUUUCAAUGCUGUCCACCAAAUCUGCCCAGCCCUCUGCCUUCUGGGAACAUAGGAAAAAUAAAAUUUCUUGUCUGCUUCAAAAUUAGGUAUGACUGUGUGACCUU